This 473-nucleotide ribosomal RNA is filed under the name uncultured bacterium. Its description in RNAcentral is "SSU rRNA". It matches the Rfam family "Bacterial small subunit ribosomal RNA", at positions 26 to 518 of the family's 1533-position model. The record is from RNAcentral.
AGGAUAAACGCUGGCGGCGUGCAUGAGACAUGCAAGUCGAACGGACGAUCAGGGCUUGCUCUGAUCGUUAGUGGCGGACGGCUGAGUAACGCGUAGGUGACCUGCCCCGAAGUGGGGAAUAACUGCCCGAAAGGGUGGCUAAUACCGCAUGUGGUGGUGCCUUCACUGGCAUCAGUAAAGCCGCAAGGCGCUUCGGGAGGGGCCUGCGUCCGAUUAGCUCGUUGGUGGGGUAACGGCUCACCAAGGCGACGAUCGGUAGGUGGUCUGAGAGGACGAUCACCCAGACUGGGACUGAGACACGGCCCAGACUCCUACGGGAGGCAGCAGUCGGGAAUUUUGCGCAAUGGACGAAAGUCUGACGCAGCAACGCCGCGUGAGGGAUGACGGCCUUCGGGUUGUAAACCUCUUUUGUCAGGGACGAUGAUGACGGUACCUGACGAAUAAGUCACGGCUAACUACGUGCCAGCAGCCGC